AGUGAACGCUGGCGGUAGGCCUAACACAUGCAAGUCGAACGGCAGCACAGUAAGAGCUUGCUCUUACGGGUGGCGAGUGGCGGACGGGUGAGGAAUACAUCGGAAUCUACUUUUUCGUGGGGGAUAACGUAGGGAAACUUACGCUAAUACCGCAUACGACCUACGAGUGAAAGCAGGGGAUCUUCGGACCUUGCGCGAUUGAAUGAGCCGAUGUCGGAUUAGCUAGUUGGCGGGGUAAAGGCCCACCAAGGCGACGAUCGGUAGCUGGUCUGAGAGGAUGAUCAGCCACACUGGAACUGAGACACGGUCCAGACUCCUACGGGAGGCAGCAGUGGGGAAUAUUGGACAAUGGGCGCAAGCCUGAUCCAGCCACACCGCGUGGGUGAAGAAGGCCUUCGGGUUGUAAAGCCCUUUUGUUGGGAAAGAAAAGCAGCAGGUUAAUACCCCGCUGUUCUGACGGUACCCAAAGAAUAAGCACCGGCUAACUUCGUG
RNAcentral lists this ribosomal RNA (492 nucleotides) under uncultured bacterium. RNAcentral describes it as "partial 16S ribosomal RNA". It matches the Rfam family "Bacterial small subunit ribosomal RNA", at positions 29 to 507 of the family's 1533-position model. The record is from RNAcentral.